This 484-nucleotide ribosomal RNA is filed under the name uncultured bacterium. RNAcentral's name for it is "partial 16S ribosomal RNA". It matches the Rfam family "Bacterial small subunit ribosomal RNA", at positions 30 to 507 of the family's 1533-position model. The record is from RNAcentral.
AUUGAACGCUGGCGGCAGGCCUAACACAUGCAAGUCGAGCGGAUGAAGGGAGCUUGCUCCUGGAUUCAGCGGCGGACGGGUGAGUAAUGCCUAGGAAUCUGCCUGGUAGUGGGGGAUAACGUCCGGAAACGGGCGCUAAUACCGCAUACGUCCUGAGGGAGAAAGUGGGGGAUCUUCGGACCUCACGCUAUCAGAUGAGCCUAGGUCGGAGUAGCUAGUUGGUGGGGUAAAGGCCUACCAAGGCGACGAUCCGUAACUGGUCUGAGAGGAUGAUCAGUCACACUGGAACUGAGACACGUUCCAGACUCCUACGGGAGGCGGCAGGGGGGAAUAUUGGACAAUGGGCGAAAGCCUGAUCCAGCCAUGCCGCGUGUGUGAAGAAGGUCUUCGGAUUGUAAAGCACUUUAAGUUGGGAGGAAGGGCAGUAAGUUAAUAACUUGCUGUUUUGACGUUACCAACAGAAUAAGCACCGGCUAACUUCGUG